AAGAACUUUCCAGAGAUGGAUUGGUGCCUUCGGGAACUUAGAUACAGGUGCUGCAUGGCUGUCGUCAGCUCGUGUCGUGAGAUGUUGGGUUAAGUCCCGNAACGAGCGCAACCCUUUUCCUAUUUGCCAGCGGGUCAUGCCGGGAACUUUAAGGAUACUGCCAGUGACAAACUGGAGGAAGGCGGGGACGACGUCAAGUCAUCAUGGCCCUUACGGCCAGGGCUACACACGUGCUACAAUGGUCGGUACAAAGGGUUGCUACCUCGCGAGAGGAUGCUAAUCUCAAAAAGCCGAUCGUAGUCCGGAUCGCAGUCUGCAACUCGACUGCGUGAAGUCGGAAUCGCUAGUAAUCGCGGAUCAGAAUGCCGCGGUGAAUACGUUCCCGGGCCUUGUACACACCGCCCGUCACACCAUGGGAGUUUGUUGCACCAGAAGUAGGUAGUCUAACCGCAAGGAGGACGCUUACCACGGUGUGGCCGAUGACUGGGGUGAAGUCGUAACAAGGUAGGCGUAGAUGA
Molecule: ribosomal RNA, 518 nt
Filed under: uncultured bacterium
Lineage: Bacteria
Description: bacterial SSU rRNA
Rfam family: Bacterial small subunit ribosomal RNA
Source: RNAcentral